This is a long non-coding RNA of Olea europaea var. sylvestris, 516 nucleotides long. RefSeq lists it as uncharacterized. Lineage: Eukaryota; Viridiplantae; Streptophyta; Magnoliopsida; Lamiales; Oleaceae. The record is from RefSeq and is a predicted model, not a curated record. The transcript is spliced from 4 exons.
UAUUAGUAUACGGGUGAUGUUGUACUGAUGUGCACAACUGAACCUUGAUUGCAGCUUGCUGGGAGUUGACUCCUCAUGUCAGCAAAUGGUUACAGAAACACCACUUGAACAGUUCAGGGGCAUAUCAGUAUUUUGUGUUGCGAGCACAGAAGAUAGCUUUGUCCCAUGGAUACGAAAUCAUUAACUGGGAAGAGACUUUCAACGACUUUGGCAAUAAGUUGAGCCGGAAAACUGUGGUCCACAACUGGCUCGGGAGUGGUGUUGCUCAGAAAGUGGUUGCAGCCGGGUUGCGUUGCAUUGUAAGCAAUCAAGACGCAUGGUAUUUGGAUCAUUUGGAUACGACUUGGCAAAAUUUCUAUCUAAAUGAGCCUCUCACUAAUAUCACUGAUCCCAAGAAACAAGCAUUAAUCCUUGGGGGCGAGGUAUGCAUGUGGGGUGAACAUAUUGACGCGUCUGACAUUGAACAAACCAUAUGGCCACGUGCUGCAGCAGCUGCAGGUACUUCUUUGGAAACCU